UAGUUAUUAGCUUAGUUGGUAAAGCGCUCGUCUAGCAUACAAGAGUCCUGGGUUCAAAUCCCAGCUGACCAC
Molecule: transfer RNA, 72 nt
Filed under: Aedes aegypti (yellow fever mosquito)
Lineage: Eukaryota; Metazoa; Arthropoda; Insecta; Diptera; Culicidae
Rfam family: tRNA
About the family: Transfer RNA (tRNA) molecules are approximately 80 nucleotides in length.
Source: Rfam by way of RNAcentral